Sapajus apella (tufted capuchin) is the source of this 915-nucleotide long non-coding RNA. RefSeq lists it as uncharacterized. Lineage: Eukaryota; Metazoa; Chordata; Mammalia; Primates; Cebidae. The record is from RefSeq and is a predicted model, not a curated record. The transcript has 4 exons.
GCUGAAGGCUCAUCAAGGCCGCAUUCCUAGCGACCUCCUCCAACCCCAACUAGCCUUUUCUGAGCACUGCAAAGCGGCUCUAUGAACAUUUCCUUGCAGGUCCAUUUUAAACUGAUCACAAUGUUUUCUCCUUUCCUCUAAGGUAGUGUUCCCUGUAACUCUGGGACUCUGAAGUGGUGGCUUAUGGAUCUGUUUUGGCUGGCAAGGACCGAAGUUACAGAGAAGGACUUAGUUACAAGCCCAGGCCGGGCUGUGUUCACCCUCUGUGACUGGAGCCCAGGGUCGGAACCCCUCAGGAAAGAGGACGGCGUGAGAAAUGAAAAGCAUGAUCACUUGUCUCACGAAAACUGAACAGAUGAAAGUAGCCUCACGUCUUCCUGGGAUGACAUCUACCCACCCUGACUGCAAUUAUUUCCUAAAAGAGUCCCCGACUUCCCAAGCUCUGAAAUACAACUCGUGUGCACGGAGGUGAACUCAUCUAUCUUCCGGGUUCCUGGCAACCUGGAAGUGGGGAAGCGGUUCUCCCUUCCGUUACCCAGACCAUCUACGGCCUCGUAUCUGCCCAUCCUUCUGAACUGCUGCUGGACCUGCAGGCUGAUGACAAAGGAGGACAGACGACCACAGGGCCCUAUUCAGGGGAAAGGAAGGAAAGGGAGUUUUUCUGGCUUGCAAACAGACUGAUAAGGAGCUCCAGGAGCAAGACAUGCUGACAGAGAGGAGAUGGGGGUAGAGACUCGGGAGACCACUGAACUUGCCUUUGGAACAAAACGGGGGUGGAGUCAGCCAGAAUUUCCGGACCCAGCCGACCUUCUCGGGCGGUGCAGGCUGCUGGUUUCCAUCCUGAGGCCCCUGCCCGAGGACAAGACGAGAAGCGGGCGGUUAGGAGAUUCCAGCCGCGGCCGCCUCGGCGGCCCC